RNAcentral lists this ribosomal RNA (460 nucleotides) under uncultured bacterium. RNAcentral describes it as "partial 16S ribosomal RNA". It matches the Rfam family "Bacterial small subunit ribosomal RNA", at positions 338 to 795 of the family's 1533-position model. The record is from RNAcentral.
CCUACGGGGUGCUGCAGUGAGGAAUAUUGGUCAAUGGACGAGAGUCUGAACCAGCCAAGUAGCGUGAAGGAUGACUGCCCUAUGGGUUGUAAACUUCUUUUAUAUGGGAAUAAAAUGUUCCACGUGUGGGUUUUUGUAUGUACCAUAUGAAUAAGGAUCGGCUAACUCCGUGCCAGCAGCCGCGGUAAUACGGAGGAUCCGAGCGUUAUCCGGAUUUAUUGGGUUUAAAGGGGGCGUAGGUGGAUUGUUAAGUCAGUUGUGAAAGUUUGCGGCUCAACCGUAAAAUUGCAGUUGAAACUGGCAGUCUUGAGUACAGUAGAGGUGGGCGGAAUUCGUGGUGUAGCGGUGAAAUGCUUAGAUAUCACGAAGAACUCCGAUUGCGAAGGCAGCUCACUGGACUGCAACUGACACUGAGGCUCGAAAGUGUGGGUAUCAAACAGGAUUAGAUACCCGAGUAGUC